Molecule: transfer RNA, 72 nt
Filed under: Dehalococcoidia bacterium
Lineage: Bacteria; Bacillati; Chloroflexota; Dehalococcoidia
Description: tRNA-Ala
Rfam family: tRNA
About the family: Transfer RNA (tRNA) molecules are approximately 80 nucleotides in length. Their secondary structure includes four short double-helical elements and three loops (D, anti-codon, and T loops). Further hydrogen bonds mediate the characteristic L-shaped molecular structure. tRNAs have two regions of fundamental functional importance: the anti-codon, which is responsible for specific mRNA codon recognition, and the 3' end, to which the tRNAs corresponding amino acid is attached (by aminoacyl-tRNA synthetases). tRNAs cope with the degeneracy of the genetic code in two manners: having more than one tRNA (with a specific anti-codon) for a particular amino acid; and 'wobble' base-pairing, i.e. permitting non-standard base-pairing at the 3rd anti-codon position.
Source: RNAcentral
GGGGCUGUAGUUCAGUUGGGAGAACGUUUGACUGGCAGUCAAAAGGUCAGGGGUUCGAGUCCCCUCAGCUCC